UACGGGGGGGGCAAGCGUUGUUCGGAAUUAUUGGGCGUAAAGAGCUCGUAGGCGGUCUGUCGCGUCUGCUGUGAAAACUCAGGGCUUAACCCUGAGCUUGCAGUGGGUACGGGCAGACUAGAGUGCGGUAGGGGAGACUGGAAUUCCUGGUGUAGCGGUGAAAUGCGCAGAUAUCAGGAGGAACACCGGUGGCGAAGGCGGGUCUCUGGGCCGAUACUGACGCUGAGGAGCGAAAGCGUGGGGAGCGAACAGG
Molecule: ribosomal RNA, 253 nt
Filed under: uncultured bacterium
Lineage: Bacteria
Description: partial 16S ribosomal RNA
Rfam family: Bacterial small subunit ribosomal RNA
Source: RNAcentral